ACGAGGAACAGGAGGCCAUGUGCUACAGGGCGGAGGUGGUUUCAGGGAUCUAUGGAUCUUUCCUGAGGAGCAGCCAACUCCUAUGAAGGCAUGAGGCCCAGCCGGCGGUUGACGGACGCACAGGAGCACACACACCUCUCAGGGUCUGAAAUGCCUUGACAGUCGUAAAAACAGUUGAUUAUUGACCCCACGUCUUAUGCUGUUGUUCAGACCACAGAAGAGUUGGCAUUCAGAAGGCCUUUCCACACCGCCGACAGUAGAACCCUCUGGAUAGCAGAGGGGAAGCGCUGCUAAUUUCGAUGAAGCCGACCUGAGGCUGUGACCCUGCUACCUGAGCCUCUCCAGCUGCAGUUGGUUUUCGCCUCUGAAGAGACCAAUACACCAUUAUCUGGCUGCACAAGGAGUGCUGCAGCAGUCCCACUGUCACACGUGACCCCCGCAGGCAAGUUCUUACUUACAUUCGACGCUCUCUGGCAGCACAGGAAUGUUUGUCAACACAACCUUCAGUUUAAGCGUAUAAAGAAGCCGUUCUGGACAUAUGGAACAGCAAAGAAGAUGAUAGAAAAGGAAAUAUAAACUGAGAUGGUUUCCAGAAAUGUGUGAACAGCCAAGAAAGGACAGAACCACAGCAGCAGGAAAACCCUAAUGUAAUAGUUAAAACCCAAUGUAAACCACAAUAAAUACGCUGCCCUCCAGAUUUCAGUUAGGCAACAGGCCCUUUGAUACUUAGAUAAAAUUAGCUCAAGCCUUUAUCCCACGUCCCGUGGGAGUCCUGUCCCGUAUAUCCCGGAAU
Molecule: long non-coding RNA, 793 nt
Organism: Nyctereutes procyonoides (raccoon dog)
Lineage: Eukaryota; Metazoa; Chordata; Mammalia; Carnivora; Canidae
Exons: 5
Source: RefSeq, a predicted model, not a curated record